Molecule: non-coding RNA, 73 nt
Organism: Raphanus sativus (radish)
Lineage: Eukaryota; Viridiplantae; Streptophyta; Magnoliopsida; Brassicales; Brassicaceae
Source: the annotation of a RefSeq genome assembly
GGUUCCAUGGCCCAAUGGAUAAGGCGCUGGUCUACGAAACCAGAGAUUGUGAGUUCGAUCCUCACUGGAAUCG